CCUACGGGAGGCAGCAGUGAGGAAUAUUGGUCAAUGGACGAGAGUCUGAACCAGCCAAGUAGCGUGAAGGAUGACUGCCCUAUGGGUUGUAAACUUCUUUUAUAUGGGAAUAAAAUGUUCCACGUGUGGGAUUUUGUAUGUACCAUAUGAAUAAGGAUCGGCUAACUCCGUGCCAGCAGCCGCGGUAAUACGGAGGAUCCGAGCGUUAUCCGGAUUUAUUGGGUUUAAAGGGGGCGUAGGUGGAUUGUUAAGUCAGUUGUGAAAGUUUGCGGCUCAACCGGAAAAUUGCAGUUGAAACUGGCAGUCUUGAGUACAGUAGAGGUGGGCGGAAUUCGUGGUGUAGCGGUGAAAUGCUUAGAUAUCACGAAGAACUCCGAUUGCGAAGGCAGUUCACUGGACUGCAACUGACACUGAGGCUCGAAAGUGUGGGUAUCAAACAGGAUUAGAUACCCGAGUAGUC
RNAcentral lists this ribosomal RNA (460 nucleotides) under uncultured bacterium. Its description in RNAcentral is "partial 16S ribosomal RNA". It matches the Rfam family "Bacterial small subunit ribosomal RNA", at positions 338 to 795 of the family's 1533-position model. The record is from RNAcentral.